RNAcentral lists this ribosomal RNA (253 nucleotides) under uncultured bacterium. RNAcentral's name for it is "partial 16S ribosomal RNA". It matches the Rfam family "Bacterial small subunit ribosomal RNA", at positions 524 to 776 of the family's 1533-position model. The record is from RNAcentral.
UACGAAGGGGGCUAGCGUUGUUCGGAAUCACUGGGCGUAAAGGGCGCGUAGGCGGCCGAUCAAGUCGGGGGUGAAAGCCUGUGGCUCAACCACAGAAUGGCCUUCGAUACUGUUUGGCUUGAGAUCGGAAGAGGUCAGUGGAACUGCGAGUGUAGAGGUGAAAUUCGUAGAUAUUCGCAAGAACACCAGUGGCGAAGGCGGCUGACUGGUCCGGUUCUGGCGCUGAGGCGCGAAAGCUGGGGGAGCGAACGGG